This 79-nucleotide small RNA is filed under the name Salmonella enterica subsp. enterica serovar Derby. RNAcentral's name for it is "partial RtT sRNA". It matches the Rfam family "RtT RNA", at positions 52 to 130 of the family's 130-position model. From Rfam's summary of the family: This family represents a bacterial cis-regulatory element known as RtT RNA. The exact function of RtT is unknown although it is thought that it may be involved in changing the cellular response in relation to amino acid starvation. Lineage: Bacteria; Pseudomonadati; Pseudomonadota; Gammaproteobacteria; Enterobacterales; Enterobacteriaceae. The record is from RNAcentral.
GCGCAGCGAGAGAACGUUGCUUCAGCAACGGCCCGCAGGGCGAGCCACGCAGUGGCGAGUCAUCCUCUAUCACCGACCA